This 77-nucleotide small nuclear RNA is filed under the name Homo sapiens (human). Its description in RNAcentral is "partial ncRNA". The record is from RNAcentral. Lineage: Eukaryota; Metazoa; Chordata; Mammalia; Primates; Hominidae.
AGAUCACUUGAGUCUGGGAGGUUGAGGCUUGCUGUGAGCCAAGAUCACUCCAGUGCACUCUAGCCUGGGCAACAAAA